Molecule: small nuclear RNA, 105 nt
Organism: Octodon degus (degu)
Lineage: Eukaryota; Metazoa; Chordata; Mammalia; Rodentia; Octodontidae
Source: Ensembl
GCAUUCAUUUCAGCAGUACAUAUGCUAAAGUUGGAACCGUACAGAGAAUCAGCACUGUCCCUGCUUAAGGAUGACAUGCAAAUUUGUGAAGUGUUUCUUAUUUUU